CAAAAGAGAAGAAACCCUAUACUAAUCUUAGUCAAUCUAGAAGUGAAAUCCAACGUGAGUGACCAUCCACAGCUGCUGAAGAUCUGGGAAAUGCCAAUCGGUGUUGUGUAGCUUCAGAUGAUGAAUGAAAGUUGACAUAUGUUGUUCGAUUCAAACAAAAGCAUCUGAAAAUCGAGGUGUGAAGAUUCCAAAGAUUUCUAUCUGGUAAGUUCUUUUUCCUCUCCUUUGUAGCUCUUAUGCUUCCAAAGUAUUGAAUCGAUAUGGGCAUGCUGAGUUGUGGCUGAACUUGACUUGAUUGUUGCUGAGCCUGUAGCUGAUGUUGCUUCUGUUUUUGGUCCGAAUCUGCUCUUUUAAUCUGUACCCGCUUGGGUAAUUCCUUCAUCAAGUCCACUUCUACUUUGACUCUUGCACAGCUAGGCCUUGUUUGAUUGUCGGUGGCUGUAUCUAUCACAAUGGGUCUGCCCACUGCAUUUGCUAAUGAGAACAAGGAUUCCUUGUCAAAGAGAUUAGUAGCGACCACGGAAAGGAGAUCCAUGCUAUAGCAAUUGUUGUUUCCUCAUCCGGCUUAAACCAAGGGUCCCAUAUGAGAAAUCUAACUGGAAAGAUUCUAUUCCUGAACCUAAUCUCCCAUGGUCGAGAAGCCAGGGUAGCAUAGUCUUCUAGUAAAGAUAAACGAACUAGAAUAUGCCUAUCCUCCAAUAGCCCUAUGGUACAGGGGCCCUUUACUUCCAAUUGUGUUGGUAUACUUCUCCUCAAUUCAUGUACAUCCGGUCUUCCAUAGGAGAAUUUAGCAACAAGUGCAUACUGUAAAUUCUGUCUCUUACAUAGUAUCUCAAAUUCCUUCUUUGUCCAUGUAACAGAGGGUUCUCCAUGUAAAUAUGUAACAGGUUUAAUGUCAAUUGGUCCUGGUUUUGGUGUGUU
Molecule: long non-coding RNA, 921 nt
Organism: Lycium ferocissimum
Lineage: Eukaryota; Viridiplantae; Streptophyta; Magnoliopsida; Solanales; Solanaceae
Exons: 2
Source: RefSeq, a predicted model, not a curated record